GCUCAGAAGAAGUUAUAUAGAAGUCAGGGUUACCAAUCCUUUUGGCCUCCAACACUCGGUUUCGAAAUAUUAUUGGUCUCGAUAAUUUUCAAUUAGCCCUCGUAUGUAUAAAAAGCUGUCCUAGGAUAAUUGGGACGGGUGUAGCCGCUGUUGUAGGUAAUUUAAUAUAUAUCCGUAGACAACGAUUAACCAUUGCUAACGAAAAAACGAUUCUGAGCGGAAUUCGGUUGAUAGUG
Molecule: non-coding RNA, 236 nt
Organism: Cinara cedri
Lineage: Eukaryota; Metazoa; Arthropoda; Insecta; Hemiptera; Aphididae
Source: the annotation of a GenBank genome assembly